CGCAUACUCCAUUUUCGGCCAAACCAAAAAUUACCCAAUACCCAAUACAAUCAAAUUUACUCUACCUACUCAAACCCAACCCACCUGGGGCCGUCCUACCUAAGGGCAGGGUAGGCAGCCGCCUACUCCAUUUUUUGCCAAACCAAAAAUUACCCAAUACCUGUGGUUGAUUGAAGAAAAGGGAAGGAUUCUGAGGAAAUGGAGAGAGGAAGAAAGAGCCUUCAUCCACAGAGGAGCAUGUGCAUGCCAAAUUCUCUAGAGAAAGAAAGAAAGGAUUCUGACUAUUUCAAGAUUUUAGAUUGGUAUAUACUCUUUUGUAGUUAGGCAUAAAACCUAGGUUUUCUUUCCCUCUCCCGCCUUAUUCUCUUCUCUGUUCGCUCUCUCCCAAACGACAUUGUACGAUCCGAAUUCAAUGUUUUUUCUUAUGUGAUGAGUAUCCGAAUGGCAAACCCGGCGAUUGUACGCUCCCAUACUGUGAAUGGUGUUUCCAAAGUACAUUCAGAAUUGCUAAAAGCAAAAUAAUUCAAGGACUUCUAGGAGCUGUGGCCUCCGAAAUUUCAAUGCAAGACAAAUGGUGUUACCCGGGUAUAAUGUUCAUAGCAUCUUUUAUAAUGUAAUUGCUAGUUUCAUUAGACUAUUCCUUCUGUUUAUGUGGUUGAAGAAGAAUGGUGAAAUACACACCUCCAAAGAUGGGUUUUGAUGGGUUUUGUAGUUUGUGCUGUUAUAGUUAUCAAAUAGAGCUUAUGGAGCAGAGUGUUCCAAAGAGUUAAUUAAGUAAAAUAAUCUGCAGACUCUGAGUCUUCAAUAUUUUCUUGCUUAUGGAUAAGAAACAUUUGGCAAUC
Prunus avium (sweet cherry) is the source of this 842-nucleotide long non-coding RNA. RefSeq lists it as uncharacterized. NCBI's taxonomy places the organism in Eukaryota, Viridiplantae, Streptophyta, Magnoliopsida, Rosales, Rosaceae. The record is from RefSeq and is a predicted model, not a curated record.